Long non-coding RNA from Xenia sp. Carnegie-2017, 270 nucleotides. RefSeq lists it as uncharacterized. NCBI's taxonomy places the organism in Eukaryota, Metazoa, Cnidaria, Anthozoa, Malacalcyonacea, Xeniidae. The transcript has 2 exons. The record is from RefSeq and is a predicted model, not a curated record.
AAUGAUCUCGACCUUAUUUAAACCCAGUGAACUCUACAACAACUGGAAGGCUAACUUGGACGCCAUCUUUGAAGCCUGCAUGAGCGCCGCCAUUGAAGCAUGCUUCCCGUCUCUCCGUCAGCAUCCUCUUCGUCGCUCCAUCAGCAUCCUCUUCGUCGCUCCAUCAGCAUCCUCUUCGUCGCUCCAUCAGCAUCCUCUUCGUUGCUUCAUCAGCAUCCACCUCGUAACGCCAUCAGCAUCCUCCUCGUAGCACCAUCAGCAUCCUCCUCG